This 68-nucleotide transfer RNA is filed under the name Pseudoligosita yasumatsui. RNAcentral's name for it is "tRNA-Met". Lineage: Eukaryota; Metazoa; Arthropoda; Insecta; Hymenoptera; Trichogrammatidae. The record is from RNAcentral.
UAAAAAAUAGACUAAGUAAAUAAGUCGUUGGAUUCAUAAUUCAAAAAUAUAUAAUUAUAUUUUUUUAA